RNAcentral lists this ribosomal RNA (742 nucleotides) under uncultured bacterium. RNAcentral's name for it is "bacterial SSU rRNA". It matches the Rfam family "Bacterial small subunit ribosomal RNA", at positions 127 to 871 of the family's 1533-position model. The record is from RNAcentral.
UACCGGUUAUUCCGGGAUAGCCUUUCGAAAGAAAGAUUAAUAGCGGAUAGUAUAACGAGAAGGCAUCUUCUUGUUAUUAAAGAAUUUCGAUAACCGAUGGGGAUGCGUUCCAUUAGUUUGUUGGCGGGGUAACGGCCCACCAAGACAUCGAUGGAUAGGGGUUCUGAGAGGAAGGUCCCCCACAUUGGAACUGAGACACGGUCCAAACUCCUACGGGAGGCAGCAGUGAGGAAUAUUGGUCAAUGGACGAGAGUCUGAACCAGCCAAGUAGCGUGAAGGAUGACUGCCCUAUGGGUUGUAAACUUCUUUUAUAUGGGAAUAAAGUGAGCCACGUGUGGCUUUUUGUAUGUACCAUACGAAUAAGGAUCGGCUAACUCCGUGCCAGCAGCCGCGGUAAUACGGAGGAUCCGAGCGUUAUCCGGAUUUAUUGGGUUUAAAGGGAGCGUAGGCGGACUAUUAAGUCAGCUGUGAAAGUUUGCGGCUCAACCGUAAAAUUGCAGUUGAUACUGGUCGUCUUGAGUGCAGUAGAGGUAGGCGGAAUUCGUGGUGUAGCGGUGAAAUGCUUAGAUAUCACGAAGAACUCCGAUUGCGAAGGCAGCUUACUGGACUGUAACUGACGCUGAUGCUCGAAAGUGUGGGUAUCAAACAGGAUUAGAUACCCUGGUAGUCCACACAGUAAACGAUGAAUACUCGCUGUUUGCGAUAUACGGCAAGCGGCCAAGCGAAAGCAUUAAGUAUUCCA